Molecule: ribosomal RNA, 531 nt
Filed under: uncultured bacterium
Lineage: Bacteria
Description: partial 16S ribosomal RNA
Rfam family: Bacterial small subunit ribosomal RNA
Source: RNAcentral
UGGGGAAUAUUGCACAAUGGGCGCAAGCCUGAUGCAGCCAUGCCGCGUGUGUGAAGAAGGCCUUCGGGUUGUAAAGCACUUUCAGCGAGGAGGAAGGUGGUGAGCUUAAUACGCUCAUCAAUUGACGUUACUCGCAGAAGAAGCACCGGCUAACUCCGUGCCAGCAGCCGCGGUAAUACGGAGGGUGCAAGCGUUAAUCGGAAUUACUGGGCGUAAAGCGCACGCAGGCGGUUUGUUAAGUCAGAUGUGAAAUCCCCGGGCUCAACCUGGGAACUGCAUUUGAAACUGGCAAGCUAGAGUCUCGUAGAGGGGGGUAGAAUUCCAGGUGUAGCGGUGAAAUGCGUAGAGAUCUGGAGGAAUACCGGUGGCGAAGGCGGCCCCCUGGACGAAGACUGACGCUCAGGUGCGAAAAGCGUGGGGCAGCAAACAGGAUUAGAUACCCUGGUAGUCCACGCUGUAAAACGAUGUCGAUUUUGGAGGUUGUGCCCCUUGAGGCGUGGNUUCCGGAGCUAACGCGUUAAAUCGACCGCC